GGGCCAGUGGCGCAACGGAGAACGCGUCUGACUACGGAUGAGAAGACUGCAGGUUCGACUCCUGCCUGGCUUG
RNAcentral lists this transfer RNA (73 nucleotides) under Chelonia mydas (Green sea turtle). It matches the Rfam family "tRNA". Rfam says of the family: Transfer RNA (tRNA) molecules are approximately 80 nucleotides in length. Their secondary structure includes four short double-helical elements and three loops (D, anti-codon, and T loops). Lineage: Eukaryota; Metazoa; Chordata; Testudines; Cheloniidae. The record is from Rfam by way of RNAcentral.